AUUGAACGCUGGCGGCAUGCCUUACACAUGCAAGUCGAACGGUAACGCGGGGCAACCUGGCGACGAGUGGCGAACGGGUGAGUAAUGCAUCGGAACGUGCCCAGUAGUGGGGGAUAGCCCGGCGAAAGCCGGAUUAAUACCGCAUACGACCUACGGGUGAAAGCGGGGGACCGUAAGGCCUCGCGCUAUUGGAGCGGCCGAUGUCAGAUUAGGUAGUUGGUGGGGUAAAGGCCUACCAAGCCUUCGAUCUGUAGCUGGUCUGAGAGGACGACCAGCCACACUGGGACUGAGACACGGCCCAGACUCCUACGGAGGCAGCAGUGGGGAAUUUUGGACAAUGGGCGCAAGCCUGAUCCAGCCAUGCCGCGUGCGG
This 373-nucleotide ribosomal RNA is filed under the name uncultured bacterium. RNAcentral describes it as "bacterial SSU rRNA". It matches the Rfam family "Bacterial small subunit ribosomal RNA", at positions 29 to 406 of the family's 1533-position model. The record is from RNAcentral.